AAUUUUUUAGUAUAUUGUAUAUUUGGCUUCCAACCAAAAGGUCUAAGAACUUAGAAAAAUUA
RNAcentral lists this transfer RNA (62 nucleotides) under Austropotamobius pallipes (white-clawed crayfish). Its description in RNAcentral is "tRNA-Gly". Lineage: Eukaryota; Metazoa; Arthropoda; Malacostraca; Decapoda; Astacidae. The record is from RNAcentral.